Molecule: ribosomal RNA, 564 nt
Filed under: uncultured bacterium
Lineage: Bacteria
Description: partial 16S ribosomal RNA
Rfam family: Bacterial small subunit ribosomal RNA
Source: RNAcentral
UGGGGAAUUUUGGACAAUGGGCGAAAGCCUGAUCCAGCAAUGCCGCGUGUGUGAAGAAGGCCUUCGGGUUGUAAAGCACUUUUGUCCGGAAAGAAAUCCUUGGCUCUAAUACAGUCGGGGGAUGACGGUACCGGAAGAAUAAGCACCGGCUAACUACGUGCCAGCAGCCGCGGUAAUACGUAGGGUGCAAGCGUUAAUCGGAAUUACUGGGCGUAAAGCGUGCGCAGGCGGUUUGCUAAGACCGAUGUGAAAUCCCCGGGCUCAACCUGGGAACUGCAUUGGUGACUGGCAGGCUAGAGUAUGGCAGAGGGGGUAGAAUUCCACGUGUAGCAGUGAAAUGCGUAGAGAUGUGGAGGAAUACCGAUGGCGAAGGCAGCCCCCUGGGCCAAUACUGACGCUCAUGCACGAAAGCGUGGGGAGCAAACAGGAUUAGAUACCCUGGUAGUCCACGCCCUAAACGAUGUCAACUAGUUGUUGGGGACUUCAUUUCCUUAGUAACGUAGCUAACGCGUGAAGUUGACCGCCUGGGGAGUACGGUCGCAAGAUUAAAACUCAAAGGAAUUG